RNAcentral lists this ribosomal RNA (336 nucleotides) under uncultured bacterium. RNAcentral describes it as "partial 16S ribosomal RNA". It matches the Rfam family "Bacterial small subunit ribosomal RNA", at positions 338 to 691 of the family's 1533-position model. The record is from RNAcentral.
CCUACGGGGGGCAGCAGGAGGGAAUAUUGCGCAAUGGGGGAAACCCUGAAGCAGCAACGCCGCGUGGAGGAUGAAGGUGUUAGGAUGGUAAACUCCUGGUGUUAGAGAAGAGGAUGACGGUAACUAACGAAUAAGCACCGGCUAACGCCGUGCCAGCAGCCGCGGUAAUACGGAGGGGGCAAGCGUUACUCGGAAUCACUGGGCGUAAAGAGUGCGUAGGCGGGGUAAUAAGUCAGAUGUGAAAUCCUGUCGCUUAACGACAGAACUGCAGUUGAAACUGUUACUCUGGAGUGUGGGUGCGGUAGGUGGCCUUCUUGUUGUAGGGGUCCACUCCGU